Lotus japonicus is the source of this 1208-nucleotide long non-coding RNA. RefSeq lists it as uncharacterized. NCBI's taxonomy places the organism in Eukaryota, Viridiplantae, Streptophyta, Magnoliopsida, Fabales, Fabaceae. The transcript has 2 exons. The record is from RefSeq and is a predicted model, not a curated record.
UAUGUUUGCCUCCUCCAACACAUCAAAAUGCGUUUACAUCCAACCUGGGAAUGGCUUGUUUGGCUCAACCUUUAUUUGCAAUUUCUGAGUAUGCAACAGGUUCACGUUUGUGUGACCAAGCGUUACUUAUAGACACAAUUUCCUCCCCUCCCGCACGUGAUCCAAAAAUCCCCGAGGUGGUGCGUCAGCAACAAUCUUUGCCUCCAACGAACGACAAAGCCGAUGUUCUGACAUCGCCAGUUGCGUUGUCUACUCCACAAACAAAUUCUUCCACGAAAAGCUCUCAACGGGGACGUCCGAAGGGUAGUAAGAACAAACCAACACCCUUGCCUGUUGAUUUCUUGGAACCAGUUCCGGGAGAAUAUGGAGUAACGACUCUUGCACAAAGAGUGUGGUUGUUAGGGAAACAAUUGGGUUUGAAACCAAGAGGGUCUGAAGCGUUGAUGCUUAGAGGAUUAGAGGCACAAAUUCGGGAAAAUCAUCCGCAUCUCAAUUGACAUGCUUGGUCCUUGGGUCAUUUGGAAUCUUCGUGGGUUGGGAGGUUUAACUAAAAGGCAGUGAUGAAGGCUAAGUUGAAGUGGAAACUAGAUUUUUUGUUGUUAUGUGAGGCAAGCUUAAAUGAGCAGCAACGACGUUUUGAAGAGUCAUGGAAUCAAGAUUUGCAGCUGAGUUAUGUUGAGGUGUUUCUAAUUCAUGCAGGAGUUCGCUGUUAUGUUUUUGGGGGUCAUGUUUUUUUUUUGCUGAUUGAGUGCAUACUGUUUUGUGUUGCUAAUUGGUGAUUUUAGUCUGAAGGUUGCAUAAUUAUAUCUGGUGUUACUGUGUGGGAUAUCUCAAUUUAGGUGAUCCUCUGAAAUUGAUUUUGUGCGCAUCAAGGAUGGCUGAUUUCAUGAUUUUUUUGGGUGCUGUUAUUCACUGCUGCUGUUGCUGGUUGAUUUUAAGUGUUGUUGCUGAUGCGGUCGUUUGCUGCCUGUGCUGUGCUGUUGCUGUGUGCUGUUGGCUGCGAAAAUUGAAGGGUGCAGUUGCUGUUGUUGCUGUUUACUACAAGGGCUGCUAUUGUUACGGAAAUUGUUGUUGUUUCUGAUGCUGGAGGUGUUGUUUUGGACUAGAAAAUUUUGGAGAGCUCAUGUUUAGAUGUAAAAGGGCCUAAGUUUGUCUUUUUGUAUAAGGGUAACAGAAUUGGCAAUUUUAAAGAAGUGGUUCUCUUUUUC